RNAcentral lists this long non-coding RNA (631 nucleotides) under Homo sapiens (human). RNAcentral describes it as "non-protein coding lnc-ABCC6-7:1". The record is from RNAcentral. Lineage: Eukaryota; Metazoa; Chordata; Mammalia; Primates; Hominidae.
AUGAAUCCUAGGAUAAAGUAGAAACAAGGAGGAAUCAAAGAUGUAAAGAACAGUUUCUCCCCAAGAAGAACUCUGAAGAUGAUUCAUCCUUCCACAGCCAGAUCUCUUGUCGGAAAAAAAAAAAAAAAAAAAAGUGACUGGCCCAAAGCAUAUCCAAGAGGAAGCAUUGGAAUGACCAGUUGACAGCCAGGACUUCCCACUCUAGAGUUGUCAUUGUCCCAGAAUAGAGUGACAAUUAAAAUCUUGGAGGAGUCACCCAAGAAGCAUUUGAUUUUAGGAUUAAAUGAAAUUUAUCCCCUCAAUAUUGGAGAGAAGUAGCAGAACAAAGGAACACCCUCUAUGAAACACUUAAGGAAAAUGAGAGGCUUCACAGAGAAAUUGAAGAAAGAACAAUGAAAUUGACCACUUGGAAAAGGAGAGUAAACAAUUGGCAAAAGCGGCAGAGUACAGUAUAUGACAGAGGCAACCCAGAGACUGAAUGAUGAACCUCUGGAUAACUCUGAAGCACCAGAUAGUCAGGAAUUUGAUUCUGAAGAGAAAACUGGUGAAGAUUCUCAAGUGGAAAACCCAAAAAUUGGCACAUGCACUGAGAAUCCUGUCUUCCUCUACAGAUGCAAAACCUUGCACGUAA